This 476-nucleotide ribosomal RNA is filed under the name uncultured bacterium. RNAcentral describes it as "partial 16S ribosomal RNA". It matches the Rfam family "Bacterial small subunit ribosomal RNA", at positions 30 to 523 of the family's 1533-position model. The record is from RNAcentral.
AUUGAACGCUGGCGGCGUGCUUAACACAUGCAAGUCGAGCGAGUGAGUUCUUCGGAACGAUCUAGCGGCGGACGGGUGAGUAACACGUGGGCAACCUGCCUCAUAGAGGGGAAUAGCUUCCCGAAAGGGAGAUUAAUACCGCAUAAAAUUAUCGAGUGGCAUCACAUGAUAAUCAAAGGAGUAAUCCGCUAUGAGAUGGGCCCGCGGCGCAUUAGCUAGUUGGUGAGGUAACGGCUCACCAAGGCGACGAUGCGUAGCCGACCUGAGAGGGUGAUCGGCCACAUUGGGACUGAGACACGGCCCAGACUCCUACGGGAGGCAGCAGUGGGGAAUAUUGCACAAUGGGGGAAACCCUGAUGCAGCAACGCCGCGUGAGUGAUGAAGGUCUUCGGAUUGUAAAGCUCUGUCUUUGGGGGCGAUAAUGACGGUACCCAAGGAGGAAGCCACGGCUAACUACGUGCCAGCAGCCGCAGUAA